GAAAGAAUGGAAAAGGCGGAAUCACCUAGGGGCUAUUCAGGAACCAACUUGAUUGUAUCAACUCGAAUGCAUAUGCCAACAUGGCAAUGGCAGCGGUAGCUUUACCAUAUGGUUGAUUGGACGGUUGUGAAAACAGAGGCUGAUACAGAGCUCACCGCACUGCACGAAUAAUGUAAGUUUACUUUUCAUUCAUCUUGCUAGUAACACAAUGUAAGAGGUUUCAGUUCUGUUUUAUUCCCUGUUAGUGAUAUUUCAGGCCUACAUGUUGAUCAUUAAAAUUAUGUCGUAGC
Long non-coding RNA from Pistacia vera, 290 nucleotides. RefSeq lists it as uncharacterized. The record is from RefSeq and is a predicted model, not a curated record. The transcript is spliced from 3 exons. NCBI's taxonomy places the organism in Eukaryota, Viridiplantae, Streptophyta, Magnoliopsida, Sapindales, Anacardiaceae.